RNAcentral lists this transfer RNA (73 nucleotides) under Myxococcales bacterium. RNAcentral's name for it is "tRNA-Thr". It matches the Rfam family "tRNA". Rfam says of the family: Transfer RNA (tRNA) molecules are approximately 80 nucleotides in length. Lineage: Bacteria; Pseudomonadati; Myxococcota; Myxococcia; Myxococcales. RNAcentral also lists the same sequence under 2 other names. The record is from RNAcentral.
GCUGGCGUAGCUCAACUGGUAGAGCACCUGUUUUGUAAGCAGGGGGCUACGGGUUCGAGUCCCGUCGCCAGCU